UACGUAGGGGGCAAGCGUUGUCCGGAGUUACUGGGCGUAAAGCGCACGCAGGCGGUCUUUUAAGUUUGGAGUGACAGUUUGGUGGCUUAACUGCCAAAGUCGCUUCGAAAACUGACAGACUUGAGGGCUUCAGAGGGACACGGAAUUCCGGGUGUAGUGGUGAAAUGCGGUAGAGAUCCGGAGGAACACAGUGGCGAAGGCGAACACGCUGGGCCGUACCUGACACUGAUGCGCGACAGCAGUGGGGAGCAAACGAGG
RNAcentral lists this ribosomal RNA (258 nucleotides) under uncultured bacterium. Its description in RNAcentral is "partial 16S ribosomal RNA". It matches the Rfam family "Bacterial small subunit ribosomal RNA", at positions 524 to 777 of the family's 1533-position model. The record is from RNAcentral.